AUUUGUUGUUAGUGGUAGAAGC
Molecule: small RNA, 22 nt
Filed under: Arabidopsis thaliana (thale cress)
Lineage: Eukaryota; Viridiplantae; Streptophyta; Magnoliopsida; Brassicales; Brassicaceae
Description: ATSL105800
Source: RNAcentral